CCUACGGGAGGCAGCAGUGAGGAAUAUUGGUCAAUGGGCUUACGCCUGAACCAGCCAAGUCGCGUGAGGGAAGACUGCCCUAUGGGUUGUAAACCUCUUUUGUCAGGGAGCAACGCCGGCUACGUGUAGCCGGACUGAGAGUCCCUGAAGAAAAAGCAUGGGCUAACUCCGUGCCAGCAGCCGCGGUAAUACGGAGGAUGCGAGCGUUACCCGGAUUUAUUGGGUUUAAAGGGUGCGUAGGCGGAAUGCCAAGUCAGCGGUAAAAUCGCGGGGCUCAACCUCGCGCCGCCGUUGAAACUGGCGGUCUUGAGUGGGCGAGAGGUAGGCGGAAUGCGUGGUGUAGCGGUGAAAUGCAUAGAUAUCACGCAGAACUCCGAUUGCGAAGGCAGCAUACCGGCGCCCAACUGACGCUGAAGCACGAAGGCGUGGGUAUCGAACAGGAUUAGAUACCCCAGUAGUC
RNAcentral lists this ribosomal RNA (460 nucleotides) under uncultured bacterium. RNAcentral describes it as "partial 16S ribosomal RNA". It matches the Rfam family "Bacterial small subunit ribosomal RNA", at positions 338 to 795 of the family's 1533-position model. The record is from RNAcentral.